GUUGGCUACGGCGACAUGACUCCUAAAACUUUCCCCGGCAUGUUUAUCGGCGGCCUCUGUGCACUUGCCGGUGUACUCACUAUAGCCCUGCCCGUUCCUGUCAUCGUCAGCAAC
Molecule: non-coding RNA, 114 nt
Organism: Nasonia vitripennis (jewel wasp)
Lineage: Eukaryota; Metazoa; Arthropoda; Insecta; Hymenoptera; Pteromalidae
Source: Rfam